GAAAAAUAUUGGCAAGAGACUUGCACUCAAGGCAUUGACUUUGCAAUCGCCUAGCGCCUUGGCUGCGAAGGCACCUUCAUCUUCAUCUCUUCUCGCAAGUUGGCUUAUUCUCUUCUUCUUUAGGAAUUUGGAAUUUUGUCUGCCUUUAUCCUUUUUUCCUCAAAUUUAAUCUCUUUUUUCUGCUUCUUUGUUUUGGAGCAAAUGAGAAUAAUUACCUCAGCUCACCUAAACUAGCUCCU
RNAcentral lists this unclassified non-coding RNA (239 nucleotides) under Hevea brasiliensis (rubber tree). The record is from RNAcentral. Lineage: Eukaryota; Viridiplantae; Streptophyta; Magnoliopsida; Malpighiales; Euphorbiaceae.